RNAcentral lists this transfer RNA (70 nucleotides) under Charinus carajas. Its description in RNAcentral is "tRNA-Met". The record is from RNAcentral. Lineage: Eukaryota; Metazoa; Arthropoda; Arachnida; Amblypygi; Charinidae.
AAAAAGAUAAGCUAAUCUUACCAAGCUUACGGGUUCAUACCCCGUCCAUAGAGACAAACUCUUCUUUUUA